UUGACCUCAAAUCAGGUAGGACUACCCGCUGAACUUAAGCAUAUCAAUAAGCGGAGGAAAAGAAACUAACAAGGAUUCCCCUAGUAACUGCGAGUGAAGCGGGAAAAGCUCAAAUUUAAAAUCUGGCGGUCUUGCGGCCGUCCGAGUUGUAAUCUGGAGAAGCGUUUAUCCGCGUCGGACCGUGUACAAGUCUUCUGGAAGGGAGCGUCGUAGAGGGUGAGAAUCCCGUCUUUGACACGGACAACCGGUGCUUUUGUGAUGCGCUCUCGAAGAGUCGAGUUGUUUGGGAAUGCAGCUCAAAAUGGGUGGUAAAUUCCAUCUAAAGCUAAUAUUGCGAGAGACCGAUAGCGAACAGUACCGUGAGGAAAGAUGAAAAGCACUUUGGAGAA
This 389-nucleotide ribosomal RNA is filed under the name uncultured Piloderma. RNAcentral describes it as "eukaryotic LSU rRNA". It matches the Rfam family "Eukaryotic large subunit ribosomal RNA", at positions 1 to 383 of the family's 3401-position model. The record is from RNAcentral. Lineage: Eukaryota; Fungi; Basidiomycota; Agaricomycetes; Atheliales; Atheliaceae.